This 468-nucleotide ribosomal RNA is filed under the name uncultured bacterium. RNAcentral's name for it is "partial 16S ribosomal RNA". It matches the Rfam family "Bacterial small subunit ribosomal RNA", at positions 28 to 507 of the family's 1533-position model. The record is from RNAcentral.
GACGAACGCUGGCGGCGUGCUAAACACAUGCAAGUCGAACGGAAAGGCCCUGCUUUUGUGGGGUGCUCGAGUGGCGAACGGGUGAGUAACACGUGAGUAACCUGCCCUUGACUUUGGGAUAACUUCAGGAAACUGGGGCUAAUACCGGAUAGGAGCUCCUGCUGCAUGGUGGGGGUUGGAAAGUUUCGGCGGUUGGGGAUGGACUCGCGGCUUAUCAGCUUGUUGGUGGGGUAGUGGCUUACCAAGGCUUUGACGGGUAGCCGGCCUGAGAGGGUGACCGGCCACAUUGGGACUGAGAUACGGCCCAGACUCCUACGGGAGGCAGCAGUGGGGAAUAUUGCACAAUGGGCGGAAGCCUGAUGCAGCAACGCCGCGUGCGGGAUGACGGCCUUCGGGUUGUAAACCGCUUUCGCCUGUGACGAAGCGUGAGUGACGGUAAUGGGUAAAGAAGCACCGGCUGACUACGUG